This 497-nucleotide ribosomal RNA is filed under the name uncultured bacterium. Its description in RNAcentral is "partial 16S ribosomal RNA". It matches the Rfam family "Bacterial small subunit ribosomal RNA", at positions 28 to 507 of the family's 1533-position model. The record is from RNAcentral.
GAUGAACGCUGGCGGCGUGCCUAAUACAUGCAAGUCGAGCGAACAGAAGAGGAGCUUGCCCCUCUGACGUUAGCCGCGCACGUGUGAGUAACACGUGGAUACCCUACCUAUAAGACGGGGAUAACUUCGGGAAACCGGAUCUAAUACCGGAUGAUAUAUGGAAGCGCAGGGUUCAAUAGGAAAGGACGGUUGUGCGGGCACUGAUAGGUGGAUCCUCGCCGCAUUAGCUAGUUGGUAAGGUAACGGGCUACCAAGGCAACGAUGGGUAGCCGAGCUGAGAGGGGGAUCGGCGACACGGGAACUGGGACACGGUCCAGACUCCUACGAGAGGCAGCAGUAGCGAAUGUUACGCAGUGGGCGAGAGCUUGGCGGAGCAACGGCGCGUGAGUGAUGACGGUCUUCGGAUCGUAAAACUCUCUUAUUAGGGAAAAACCACUGUGUACGUAAAUAUACACGUCUUGACGGUACCUAAUCAGAAAGCCCCGGCUAACUACGUG